CAUUAAUAAAAUAAUCGAAAUAUGAAGUGUUUUUUUUACCCACAUCCGCACAAAUAAACAACUUCUAGACAUCCGUAAUUUUAUAGGUAUAAAAAGACGACCUCGACGUUGUUUAUUUCAAUCGACUACUGAGAAUUUCUAGCUUAUAGGGAGAAGAACAACAUCCACCAUGAAGUCUACACUGCUCUGCGCUUUCUUGGUCGUCUGUCUGGCAGCCGCGUACGGCAUUGGCGGGAUUAGAAGUGGUGAAAACAUAAACGAAUAUGAUGGCGAAAUGAUGGACGAAUCUGAUGUAGGAGCCUGCCUUUGUAGAUUUCUGUAUUGUCCGAGUGGAUAUCGUAAAGUUGGCAGGUGCGGUUGGAUUGGGGUGCACUGCUGCGAAUAGAUAGGAAAACAAUACCGAAAAGGACAAGCACCCUUCAGGACGGAUUCGACUGGACAUUUAUAUCAAUAAUAUAUUAUUGUAAUAUUUGCCAGUACAAAAAAAACAACAAAUAAAUAUCAAUAUUUAA
Dreissena polymorpha is the source of this 512-nucleotide long non-coding RNA. RefSeq lists it as uncharacterized. The transcript is spliced from 4 exons. Lineage: Eukaryota; Metazoa; Mollusca; Bivalvia; Myida; Dreissenidae. The record is from RefSeq and is a predicted model, not a curated record.